GAUGAACGUUGGCGGCGUGCCUAACACAUGCAAGUCGAACGGAAAUAGCAAUAUUUGAGUGGCGCACGGGUGAGUAACACGUAGCUAAUCUACCUCAAAGCGCGGGAUAACGUGUCGAAAGACAGGCUAAUACCGCAUAAGCUCACGAUCUGCAGAGGGUUGUGAGAAAAGGCGAAAGUCACUUUGAGAUGAGGCUGCGGCCCAUCAGCUAGUUGGUGAGGUAACGGCUUACCAAGGCAACGACGGGUAGGGGACCUGAGAGGGUGACCCCCAACUGGGGACUGAGACACGGCCCAGACUCCUACGGGAGGCAGCAGUGAGGAAUAUUGCACAAUGGGCAAAGCCUGAUGCAGCGACGCCGCGUGGGUGAAGAAGGUUUUCGGAUCGUAAAACCCUUUCUGUGUGACGAGCAAGGCGGUAGCACAGGAAUAAGUCUCGGCUAACUACGUG
This 450-nucleotide ribosomal RNA is filed under the name uncultured bacterium. RNAcentral's name for it is "bacterial SSU rRNA". It matches the Rfam family "Bacterial small subunit ribosomal RNA", at positions 28 to 507 of the family's 1533-position model. The record is from RNAcentral.